GGUAGGGCAAGUCUGGUGCCAGCAGCCGCGGUAAUUCCAGCUCCAAUAGCGUAUAUUAAGGUUGUUGCAGUUAAAAGCUCGUAGUUGAAUUUCGGGGUUAGUAGGUUGGUCAUGCCUCUGGUAUGUACUGGUCUCACUGAUUCCUCCUUCCUGAUGAACCUUAAUGCCAUUAAUUUGGUGUUUUGGGGAAUUUGGACUGUUACUUUGAAAAAUUAGAGUGUUUAAAGCAAGCUAACGCUUGAAUACAUUAGCAUGGAAUAAUGAAAUAGGACGUUUACCCUAUUUUAGUUGGUUUUUUAGGAUCGACGUAAUGAUUAAUAGGGAUAGUUGGGGGCAUUAGUAUUCAAUUGUCAGAGGUGAAAUUCUUGGAUUUAUUGAAGACUAACUACUGUGAAAGCAUUUGCCAAGGAUGUUUUCAUUAAUCAAGAACGAAAGUUAGGGGGAUCGAAGACGAUCAGAUACCGUCGUAGUCUUAACCAUAAACUAUGCCGACUAGGGAUCGGAUGAUGUUAAUUUUAUAAUGACUCAUUCGGCGCCUUACG
This 542-nucleotide ribosomal RNA is filed under the name uncultured Glomus. Its description in RNAcentral is "SSU rRNA". It matches the Rfam family "Eukaryotic small subunit ribosomal RNA", at positions 550 to 1092 of the family's 1831-position model. The record is from RNAcentral. Lineage: Eukaryota; Fungi; Glomeromycota; Glomeromycetes; Glomerales; Glomeraceae.